Molecule: ribosomal RNA, 253 nt
Filed under: uncultured bacterium
Lineage: Bacteria
Description: partial 16S ribosomal RNA
Rfam family: Bacterial small subunit ribosomal RNA
Source: RNAcentral
UACGGGGGGGGCAAGCGUUGUUCGGAAUUACUGGGCGUAAAGGGCGCGUAGGCGGCCUGCUAAGUCGGAUGUGAAAUCUCUCGGCUUAACCGGGAGGGGUCUUCAGAUACUGGUGGGCUUGAGGGCAGCAGAGGUCGGUGGAAUUCCCGGUGGAGUGGUGAAAUGCGUAGAUAUCGGGAGGAACACCAGUGGCGAAGGCGGCCGACUGGGCUGUCCCUGACACUGAGGUGCGAAAGCGUGGGGAGCGAACCGG